RNAcentral lists this ribosomal RNA (497 nucleotides) under uncultured bacterium. Its description in RNAcentral is "partial 16S ribosomal RNA". It matches the Rfam family "Bacterial small subunit ribosomal RNA", at positions 28 to 507 of the family's 1533-position model. The record is from RNAcentral.
GAUGAACGCUGGCGGCGUGCCUAAUACAUGCAAGUCGAGCGAACAGAUGAGGAGCUUGCUCCUCUGACGUUAGCGGCGGACGGGUGAGUAACACGUGGAUAACCUACCUAUAAGACUGGGAUAACUUCGGGAAACCGGAGCUAAUACCGGAUAAUAUAUUGAACCGCAUGGUUCAAUAGUGAAAGACGGUUUUGCUGUCACUUAUAGAUGGAUCCGCGCCGCAUUAGCUAGUUGGUAAGGUAACGGCUUACCAAGGCAACGAUGCGUAGCCGACCUGAGAGGGUGAUCGGCCACACUGGAACUGAGACACGGUCCAGACUCCUACGGGAGGCAGCAGUAGGGAAUCUUCCGCAAUGGGCGAAAGCCUGACGGAGCAACGCCGCGUGAGUGAUGAAGGUCUUCGGAUCGUAAAACUCUGUUAUUAGGGAAGAACAAAUAUGUAAGUAACUAUGCACGUCUUGAUGGUACCUAAUCAGAAAGCCACGGCUAACUACGUG